GAGUUUGAUCAUGGCUCAGAACGAACGCUAGCGGGAUGCCUCAAACAUGCAAGUCGAACGCGAAAGCCCUUCGGGGCAAGUAGAGUGGCGCACGGGUGCGUAACACGUAGCUAACGUGUCCUUUCGCUGGGGACAACUCCGGGAAACCGGAGCUAAUACCGAAUGAACUGCCCAGGUCUGCGGACCAGGUCGGUAAAGCCGUAAGGCGCGAAAGGAGCGGGCUGCGUCCUAUUAGUUUGAUGGUGGGGUAACGGCCUACCAUGGCGACGAUAGGUAGCUGGUCUGAGAGGAUGAUCAGCCACACUGGAACUGAAACACGGUCCAGACUCCCACGGGAGGCAGCAGUUGGGAAUAUUGGACAAUGGGGGAAACCCUGAUCCAGCAAUCCCGCGUGAGGGACGAAGGCUCUCGGGUCGUAAACCUCUUUUAGAAGGGAAGAAGGGAAACUUGACGGUACCUUCAGAAGAAGCACCGGCUAACUCCGUGCCAGCAGCCGCGGUAAUACGGAGGGUGCAAGCGUUGUUCGGAAUCA
RNAcentral lists this ribosomal RNA (532 nucleotides) under uncultured bacterium. RNAcentral's name for it is "bacterial SSU rRNA". It matches the Rfam family "Bacterial small subunit ribosomal RNA", at positions 9 to 553 of the family's 1533-position model. The record is from RNAcentral.